Molecule: ribosomal RNA, 755 nt
Filed under: uncultured Actinomyces sp.
Lineage: Bacteria; Bacillati; Actinomycetota; Actinomycetes; Actinomycetales; Actinomycetaceae
Description: bacterial SSU rRNA
Rfam family: Bacterial small subunit ribosomal RNA
Source: RNAcentral
GACGAACGCUGGCGGCGUGCUUAACACAUGCAAGUCGAACGCUGAAGACCUGGCUUUUGUUGGGUUGGAUGAGUGGCGAACGGGUGAGUAACACGUGAGUAACCUGCCCCCUUCUUUGGGAUAACGCCCGGAAACGGGUGCUAAUACUGGAUACUCACUGGCCUUCGCAUGGGGGUUGGUGGAAAGGUUUGUUCUGGUGGGGGAUGGGCUCGCGGCCUAUCAGCUUGUUGGUGGGGUGAUGGCCUACCAAGGCUUUGACGGGUAGCCGGCCUGAGAGGGUGACCGGUCACAUUGGGACUGAGAUACGGCCCAGACUCCUACGGGAGGCAGCAGUGGGGAAUAUUGCACAAUGGGCGAAAGCCUGAUGCAGCGACGCCGCGUGAGGGAUGGAGGCCUUCGGGUUGUAAACCUCUUUCGCUCAUGGUCAAGCCGCAACUGUGGGUUGUGGUGAGGGUAGUGGGUAAAGAAGCGCCGGCUAACUACGUGCCAGCAGCCGCGGUAAUACGUAGGGCGCGAGCGUUGUCCGGAAUUAUUGGGCGUAAAGGGCUUGUAGGCGGUUGGUCGCGUCUGCCGUGAAAUCCUCUGGCUUAACUGGGGGCGUGCGGUGGGUACGGGCUGACUUGAGUGCGGUAGGGGAGACUGGAACUCCUGGUGUAGCGGUGGAAUGCGCAGAUAUCAGGAAGAACACCGGUGGCGAAGGCGGGUCUCUGGGCCGUUACUGACGCUGAGGAGCGAAAGCGUGGGGAGCGAACAGG